RNAcentral lists this ribosomal RNA (253 nucleotides) under uncultured bacterium. RNAcentral describes it as "partial 16S ribosomal RNA". It matches the Rfam family "Bacterial small subunit ribosomal RNA", at positions 524 to 776 of the family's 1533-position model. The record is from RNAcentral.
UACGGAGGGGGCUAGCGUUAUUCGGAAUUACUGGGCGUAAAGCGCACGUAGGCGGAUUGACAAGUCAGAGGUGAAAUCCCGGGGCUCAACCCCGGAACGGCCUUUGAAACUGUUUGUCUUGAGGUCGAGAGAGGUGAGUGGAAUUCCGAGUGUAGAGGUGAAAUUCGUAGAUAUUCGGAGGAACACCAGUGGCGAAGGCGGCUCACUGGCUCGAUACUGACGCUGAGGUGCGAAAGCGUGGGGAGCAAACAGG